Hypanus sabinus (Atlantic stingray) is the source of this 1670-nucleotide long non-coding RNA. RefSeq lists it as uncharacterized. The record is from RefSeq and is a predicted model, not a curated record. The transcript is spliced from 3 exons. NCBI's taxonomy places the organism in Eukaryota, Metazoa, Chordata, Chondrichthyes, Myliobatiformes, Dasyatidae.
CUCAUUUUGGACUGCUCUGCGGCUAAGCACUUAGUGCUGCCUCCUCACAGGUCAAAUCCUGAUCCCAGAUGUUGUCCAUGUGGAGUUUGCACUGUCUCUACGGCUGAGCCCUGGUGCUCCAAUUUCCUUCCACCUUUCCAUGGUACAUUGAUCAGUUAAAUGGCUCCUAUAAACAUCUCCUAAUAUGUCCAAUAUAUGCAGACUCAAUAGUUAAUACUCCUCCCCUGCUAAAGUAGGUGAUAGAGGGGACAAUGAAACAGGUUAUUAAAAUUAUAGGGGAAACGAUCAGCACCAUUCUCUAAAAACUCCGGAGACUGUUAUGCAUCAAAAUCCCAGGAGAUCUUCAGUUCCUGAGAUACUCAAAGUGCCUCAUCUGGCACCAACAAUCAUUCCACAUUUAGAUCACAAUUCUUAGUUCACAAUAUAAGGAAGACAAGUGGUUGUGAUGGGUUCCUCCUCCUAUAUUUCAACGGGGAAGUGUUCUGAAGAAAUACCAGUGUAAUGCCAUACACAAACCUAGAAGGAAACUAAAUCACUGCUUAUAUGUGUAAAAGGGGACCUGGGACUCAGGUUGGCUGGUACUUACAGGAUUCCUUGUCAAUGCGGAGUGGCAUAUAUUGGCCUGUUGGAGCGCACAGUGGAAACGCUCUUCAAGGAGCACAGGAAAUGUUUUGUUUGGGUUACCCAGUGAAAUCGGCUGUAGCAGAACAUUACACUCACAAUAGCCACAGGAUUGGCUUCAAUGGUACAAAACUACUGUUGCAUUGCCAUACCAAUGGCUUUUGGGAUCACCUGGUGAAGAAAGCCAUUGAAUUUAAACAAGAGGAAAAGAAUUUUAAUCAAGACGAAGGUGUCGACUUAAGUAGGAAGGUGGGAGAGCAGAAAUCUGAUUCGAUGAGGACUAAACAAUCAGAAGGGCCAGACCAUGGGUUAUAAAUACCACUGAUCCAGACAUGUCCAGGCAUCAUCCCUGAUGAAGAUGGCAGUGUUUGUCAUCAAAACAACUAAACCUUGAUCAUGUUGGCAUGUUGUUGUGCAUGGAGUUGCUGCCACAUAAUUGGCUGAUUAGAUACUUUCAUUAACGAGCAGAUGUACAGAUGUGCCUAAUAAAGUUGCCACUGACUUCACAUCUUCUGGAUGAAAUUACCAUAAAUAUUUUAGGAUAUUAAUUAUGAAAGGGCUUUCAGUUAGGAAAAUGAAAAGCCACAAUAUUUGAGGAAAAGCUAUGCUGACAAUUAAUUGAGAAUCUUUAUUAGCUGAAUGUCUUUUCAUUUCAGCAGAGGAACUUAAUAUUGCACAGUCAAUUUUAGAGAUAAACUCAUUUUACCCCAAAUUCCUGGAAUAAACUGCCAAGAACCAAGCAAUUCAGUGGAAUCUGAAGUAAAAAUCUGUUUUUUAUGAAAUUGGUCAAAGAAGUGGAAUGAGGCUGAGGCAAAAAAACCAAAAUGAUUGCACAAUGAUUUCAGAAAAUAGCACAAGCUCAUCACAUAGAAAUUAAUUUUGUUUUGUUGUUAUCUUCUAUAUAUACACAAAUAAACCGUUAUAUUUCUACAUCACAACAUUUUAAAGCUAUUUGUAAUAUUAUUUAUUGCUUACACAAGUUUAGCUGCUAAUGUAAAUAACGCGGAGGCAAAUCAUCACAAUUCCAUACCAGACUGAUUUCCUUUGUG